GGACCCACUCCAGCGGUACGUUUUCAAGAAUUAGAACGAUACAGAGAAGAUUAACAUGGCCCCUGCGCAUGGGUUGCACUCAUAAUGAUAAAUAAUAUCUACAAGAAA
Small nuclear RNA from Schistocerca gregaria, 108 nucleotides. The record is from RefSeq and is a predicted model, not a curated record. Lineage: Eukaryota; Metazoa; Arthropoda; Insecta; Orthoptera; Acrididae.